UGGGGAAUAUUGGACAAUGGGCGCAAGCCUGAUCCAGCAAUACCGCGUGUGUGAAGAAGGCCUUAGGGUUGUAAAGCACUUUCAGCGAGGAGGAAGGCGUUGUAGUUAAUAGCUGCAACGAUUGACGUUACUCGCAGAAGAAGCACCGGCUAACUCCGUG
RNAcentral lists this ribosomal RNA (160 nucleotides) under uncultured Rahnella sp. Its description in RNAcentral is "partial 16S ribosomal RNA". It matches the Rfam family "Bacterial small subunit ribosomal RNA", at positions 355 to 507 of the family's 1533-position model. Lineage: Bacteria; Pseudomonadati; Pseudomonadota; Gammaproteobacteria; Enterobacterales; Yersiniaceae. The record is from RNAcentral.